This 429-nucleotide ribosomal RNA is filed under the name Acidobacteriota bacterium. RNAcentral's name for it is "Acidobacteria bacterium partial 16S ribosomal RNA". It matches the Rfam family "Bacterial small subunit ribosomal RNA", at positions 355 to 776 of the family's 1533-position model. Lineage: Bacteria; Pseudomonadati; Acidobacteriota. The record is from RNAcentral.
UGGGGAAUUUUGGACAAUGGGCGAAAGCCUGAUCCAGCAAUGCCGCGUGUGUGAAGAAGGCCUUCGGGUUGUAAAGCACUUUUGUCCGGAAAGAAAACGCCGUGGUUAAUACCCGUGGCGGAUGACGGUACCGGAAGAAUAAGCACCGGCUAACUACGUGCCAGCAGCCGCGGUAAUACGUAGGGUGCAAGCGUUAAUCGGAAUUACUGGGCGUAAAGCGUGCGCAGGCGGUCCGCUAAGACAGAUGUGAAAUCCCCGGGCUUAACCUGGGAACUGCAUUUGUGACUGGCGGGCUAGAGUAUGGCAAAGGGGGGUAGAAUUCCACGUGUAGCAGUGAAAUGCGUAGAGAUGUGGAGGAAUACCGAUGGCGAAGGCAGCCCCCUGGGCCAAUACUGACGCUCAUGCACGAAAGCGUGGGGAGCAAACAGG